RNAcentral lists this unclassified non-coding RNA (904 nucleotides) under Hevea brasiliensis (rubber tree). The record is from RNAcentral. Lineage: Eukaryota; Viridiplantae; Streptophyta; Magnoliopsida; Malpighiales; Euphorbiaceae.
GUAGAGUGCAGAAUCAUUCGGAAUUUGUUCAAUAACUUUUCAGAUCUAGUAGUAGGGGGUUGAAAGAAAAAUGGGUAGGAUGGAUUAUUUGGCUAUGAAGACUGAUGAAGAUACUAACAAAUUGAUUAAUGAAGAUCUGAAUGAGCUAAAGUUAGCUGCUGAGAAGCUCUUUGACCAUGCCACUAAACUUGGCGGUCUUGGAUUUGGUACUUCUCUUCUCAAAUGGUUUGCCUCAUUUGCUGCCAUUUAUUUGCUGAUACUGGACCGGACAAACUGGAAAACAAAUAUGUUGACUGGACUUCUAGUCCCAUAUAUCUUCUUCAGUUUCCCUGCAGUGUUAUUCCACUUCUUCAGAGGAGAGGUUGGGAAAUGGAUUGCUUUCGUUGCAGUAGUACUUAGGCUUUUCUUCCCACGACAUUUUCCAGACUGGUUGGAAAUGCCUGGUUCAUUAAUCCUACUCCUAGUGGUUUCGCCCAACAUCUUUGCCCACACUUUCAGAGACAGCUGGAUUGGCACUGCGAUAUGUCUUUUGAUUGGCUGCUAUCUCCUCCAAGAGCACAUCAGAGCCUCCGGUGGAUUCAGAAAUUCCUUAACACAAAGCAAUGGUAUAUCUAACACAGUUGGUAUAAUUCUUCUGUUGGUAUAUCCAAUCUGGGCUCUGGUUCUUCGAGCCGUCUGAUGAACUAUAGCUACAACGAUCAUAUGUGUGUUUUCGUCCACGAAUUCAAUGCUCAAUGCUGCAAAGCAGACCUCUGAAUAAAUGGAUUUGGUUUUGUUUUAAACAUUUCUGGUUAUGUGAUUAUGUACUUUUGACAUAUGAAGUACUUAUGGUUGAUGGAUUUGAUUGUAAAGUUUUCACUCAUUCACGCUUGCAAUCUAUGAACUUGGUAAGGUGACGAUUAUA